CCUACGGGUGGCAGCAGUGAGGAAUAUUGGUCAAUGGUCGGGAGACUGAACCAGCCAAGCCGCGUGAGGGAUGAAGGUACAGAGUAUCGUAAACCUCUUUUGUCAGGGAACAAAUGCGGGGACGUGUCCCCGGAUGAGUGUACCUGAAGAAAAAGCAUAGGCAAACUCCGUGCCAGCAGCCGCGGUAAUACGUAGGGGGCAAGCGUUAGCCGGAUUUACGGGGUGUAAAGGGAGCGCAGGCGGCGUGGCAAGUCAGAUGUGAAAACCCGGGGCCCAACCCCGGGAGUGCAUUUGAAACUGCCAUGCUGGAGUGCCGGAGAGGUAAGCGGAAUUCCUAGUGUAGCGGUGAAAUGCGUAGAUAUUAGGAGGAACACCAGUGGCGGAGGCGGCUUACUGGACGGUAACUGACGCUGAGGCUCGAAAGCGUGGGGAGCAAACAGGAUUAGAUACCCUGGUAGUC
RNAcentral lists this ribosomal RNA (460 nucleotides) under uncultured bacterium. RNAcentral's name for it is "partial 16S ribosomal RNA". It matches the Rfam family "Bacterial small subunit ribosomal RNA", at positions 338 to 795 of the family's 1533-position model. The record is from RNAcentral.